GCUCAGUAACACGUGGAUAACCUGCCCUUGGGACCGGGAUNNCCCCGGGAAACUGAAAAUAAUACCGGAUAACGCAUAUCUGCUGGAAUGCUUUAUGCGUAAAAUGGAUUUGUCUGCCCAAGGAUGGGUCUGCGGCCUAUCGAGGUAGUAGUGGGUGUANUGUACCUACUAGCCUACGACGGGUACGGGUUGUGAGAGCAAGAGCCCGGAGAUGGAUUCUGAGACANGAAUCCAGGCCCUACGGGG
This 246-nucleotide ribosomal RNA is filed under the name uncultured Methanosarcina sp. RNAcentral's name for it is "partial 16S ribosomal RNA". It matches the Rfam family "Archaeal small subunit ribosomal RNA", at positions 88 to 330 of the family's 1478-position model. The record is from RNAcentral. Lineage: Archaea; Methanobacteriati; Methanobacteriota; Methanomicrobia; Methanosarcinales; Methanosarcinaceae.